GACGAACGCUGGCGGCGUGCUUAACACAUGCAAGUCGAACGGAAAGGCCCUGCUUUUGUGGGGUGCUCGAGUGGCGAACGGGUGAGUAACACGUGAGUAACCUGCCCUUGACUUUGGGAUAACUUCAGGAAACUGGGGCUAAUACCGGAUAGGAGCUCCUGCUGCAUGGUGGGGGUUGGAAAGUUUCGGCGGUUGGGGAUGGACUCGCGGCUUAUCAGCUUGUUGGUGGGGUAGUGGCUUACCAAGGCUUUGACGGGUAGCCGGCCUGAGAGGGUGACCGGCCCCAUUGGGACUGAGAUACGGCCCAGACUCCUACGGGAGGCAGCAGUGGGGAAUAUUGCACAAUGGGCGGAAGCCUGAUGCAGCAACGCCGCGUGCGGGAUGCCGGCCUUCGGGUUGUAACCCGCUUUCGCCUGUGACGAAGCGUGAGUGACGGUAAUGGGUAAAGAAGCACCAGCUAACUACGUG
This 468-nucleotide ribosomal RNA is filed under the name uncultured bacterium. Its description in RNAcentral is "partial 16S ribosomal RNA". It matches the Rfam family "Bacterial small subunit ribosomal RNA", at positions 28 to 507 of the family's 1533-position model. The record is from RNAcentral.